AAAUGUAUCUCUAGUCGCAAAAGUUUAUCCGCCAUUAUUAGCCUACAUGCUAAGCUAGCUUUGUUGCUAACUCCUGUCGAGAGGACGUCCAGCCGACUAGAAGAACUUUGAUUAAUAUUCGUUUUUGCUUUGGUGACCUGGGGCUACACUACGCGCCCAUGAUGUCAUGUGGGGCGGAGUCAGCGAUGGACAGACGAGGAAGUUUUCCCUCCAAAGUUCUUCUGAAGCGCUGAUGGCCGCACCUUUCCCAUCUGGACCCUCAAACUCUAUUAGGUAAACUCCUCGAAGCCCGGCAUGCCUGCGGCGAGAGGCGAAGAACGGGAAGUGAGAGGUUGACGGGUGACGACGAGGAAGAGGAGAAGAGGCGGCCACCUUUGACCGGGUAACGUCGCUUGAUCAUCUCCUGCAGUGGGAGCAGGUAGGCCGUCAGACCGAGCCUCCUCGUCCCAAACUUGGUCACAACCGGGAUCCAUCCAAAGUGGCGACGUCACUGCUGAAUAUCCCAGAAAGCAGGUUGCUGUUGGACGGCGUGAAGGUGACUCUCUGAAGCAGUCGACCGGAAACAUCGUAAACAAUGCGCUACAUUAUGUUCGUCUGCACUGUAAGCUGUACUUACAGUGGUGUAGUUGGUCCUCAGGCACCUCAGAGUCACGUAGUGUUUGUAAAAGUCACUUUGGGUCACGCCCUCCACCACCACCACAUUGAUGCCUUCCACACUCCCGGACAGGCGACACCAACUAAAAGAAAGACAAAUAGAUGAAGCAGGCGAUGAUAACCUGGGCUGUUUUAUGCGGUUUGUUCCCCGCAGAGCAGCGUAAUGCAGUAGCUCCGUCAGCUCCUCCCCCGAGAUAGGACGCUGGAGGUGGUCGGGCAGCACGGACAUCGCCGGCCCACGUUCCCCAUUUUCACCGACUUCAUCUUGCUUUCCGUUGAGCCUCUUAGCCGACCCAUGACGUGUGUCGCUUUUCCUUUUCUGUCCCUUUAAUGGCGCUGAUGUUGAGGACUCCAUGUUAGAGCAGGCCCUUGUGCUGGAUAGUAAACACAAAAUUAAUUUGCAAAGAAUUUAAUUGAUGCAUAACUUUUCAGCUACCACUAUAUAUAUACCGGUAUAUAUAUGUGUGUAAGUAUAUAUCCAUCCAUCCAUUUUCUACCGCUUAUCCCUUUUGGGGUCGCGGGGGGUGCUGGAGCCUAUCUCAGCUGCAUUUGGGCGGAAGGCGGGGUACACCCUGGACAAGUCGCCACCUCAUCGCAGGGCCAACACAGAUAGACAGAUAAC
Entelurus aequoreus (snake pipefish) is the source of this 1276-nucleotide long non-coding RNA. RefSeq lists it as uncharacterized. The record is from RefSeq and is a predicted model, not a curated record. The transcript has 5 exons. Lineage: Eukaryota; Metazoa; Chordata; Actinopteri; Syngnathiformes; Syngnathidae.